GACAGAGGGUGCAAACGUUGUUCGGAAUUACUGGGCGUAAAGCGCGUGUAGGCGGCUUGGCAAGUCGGGUGUGAAAGCCCUGGGCUCAACCUAGGAAGUGCACUCGAAACUGCCUCGCUAGAGUGUCGGAGAGGGUAGUGGAAUUCUCGGUGUAGAGGUGAAAUUCGUAGAUAUCGAGAGGAACACCGGUGGCGAAGGCGGCUACCUGGACGACGACUGACGCUGAGACGCGAAAGCGUGGGGAGCAAACAGG
Molecule: ribosomal RNA, 253 nt
Filed under: uncultured bacterium
Lineage: Bacteria
Description: partial 16S ribosomal RNA
Rfam family: Bacterial small subunit ribosomal RNA
Source: RNAcentral